UACGAAGGGGGCUAGCGUUGUUCGGAAUCACUGGGCGUAAAGCGCACGUAGGCGGACUCUUAAGUCGGUGGUGAAAUCCUGGAGCUCAACUCCAGAACUGCCUUCGAUACUGGGAGUCUUGAGUCCGAGAGAGGUGAGUGGAACUGCGAGUGUAGAGGUGAAAUUCGUAGAUAUUCGCAAGAACACCUGUGGCGAAAGCGGCUCACUGGACCAUAACUGACGCUGAUGCACGAAAGCUGGGGGGAGCAAACAGG
RNAcentral lists this ribosomal RNA (254 nucleotides) under uncultured bacterium. RNAcentral describes it as "partial 16S ribosomal RNA". It matches the Rfam family "Bacterial small subunit ribosomal RNA", at positions 524 to 776 of the family's 1533-position model. The record is from RNAcentral.